GUUUAAGCCUCAGGGGGGCAAUAAUGGGACAGACGUGGAAAAUGGGAGACAUGGAGAAGUUAUAGAAACAGAAAUUUAUCAAAACGAGUCUUAACUGUUUUUGAGUUCGAUUAGCUGAUUUCUCUUUGAUAAAUCCUAGAAAAUUCAAAGCCCAUCUCUAAAAACCUUCGAUCUUGAAAACCCAGAUCUCAAUGUUCCACAAUUUGAUAAAAUUUUUGCCUUUUACUUUGAUCAAUCUCAUAUCCCCUGUUUCUAAGCUUUGUUUUUGUCUGUCUCUAGCAACAGAACACCAUAGUGUUACUUGUUAGCCUCUGAGUUGCUCCUGAGUCAGGCCUUCUCCUUUGCCUUCUUGGAGGUUUCUGUUGUUUUAUCUCAUAAAUUUCUCUUGUGAUGUUUCUUAGUGGUUAGAUUUUCCUAUUUUUGGAUUUUGUUUCCAAUCAAAGUAUAUCUAAGCAAAUCACAAUCCCUCAAUUCCCUCCAAAUUUCUUGGAAUUUCUUCUGAUUCUGUUCUUCUUUUGAAAUUCUACCUACUCAGUCUCCCAAUUCCAUUUCUUUCUUUUUUUACCUUCUUCGGUCAUCAUCUCUGAUUCUUAAUCCCACUUUCUUUGUUCUCUCUGCUCCAAAAACCCUUCAAAUUCUCCGUAAAAUUCCACCAUGAAGAUCGCCAAAGACAGAGUCCGAUUCAACGUCGGAGGCAGAAUCUUCGAGACAACCUCCACGACCUUGGCAAAUGCCGGUAGAAACUCCUUUUUCGGAGCAUUUUUUGACGAUAAUUGGGCUUUAAAACAACCCAUCAAUGACCUCAAUCCCAACAGUGAAUUCUACAUCGAUCGAAACCCGGAUUGUUUCGGUAUCCUCCUCGAUCUUCUCCGCACCGGCGAUCUCCACAUCCCUCCCCACGUCCCGGAAAGACUCCUCCACCGAGAGGCGUCAUUUUACGGCCUCUUGGACCAUGUAAGAUCGGCCAAAUGGGGUCCAUUUGAUGCAAACAGACUUCGGUAUUCCCGGUCUGUCACUGGCCGGGCACCAGGGGAUGGCACGGCAAUUCGUGCAGGACCGGAUGGUGGGUGCUGUGUGGCUCAUGGAAGUAUGGUGCGUGUCUAUGAUUGGAUGAUGGAAGAGCAUCCACCAAUCAAUCUUGAUUACCAGAGAGUGAAUGAUAUUGCUUGGGUUGAUUCUGAGAAUGUGAUUCUCAGUGCCUGUGAGAGAUUAGGCCGCGGAGAUGGAGGAAUGGGGCUGUUCAGUAAGAGUACAGGGGAGCUCAGGUAUAAGUUUCAGGUCUGCCAUGAGAAUCGAGUGAAGAGCUAUACUGCUGGGGCUUUGAGCACUAGCUCUGAUUAUAGAAUUUUUAGUAGCUGUAAAGGGAGAAGCAAUGAGUAUGGAAUUGGAGUAUGGGAUCAAAUUACUGGUAAACAAAUUGAUUUCUUUUAUGAGAGUCCAGGUUGGUCACUAGGUGAUGCUGAUAAAUUGCAGUGGUUAAAUGGGAGAAACUGCUUGUUGGUGGCUACUUUGUUUCCUAGAAAGGACAACUGUUACAUUAGUUUGGUGGAUUUUAGAGAGAAGAGGAUGGUGUGGUUUUGGUCUGAUAUUGGUGCUUCUAUGACUGUGGAUGAGAAAAGGGUUCGUGAUGCUAUUGCUAUGGAGGAUUGUAAUGCUAUUUGUGUGGUGAAUGAGUAUGAGGAGUUAGGGUUUAUGGAUUUGAGAAUGAGUGGAGGAAGCGUGAGAUGGAGUUCGAGGAGUCGAUUGAUGAAGGGAAAGAUGCCUGAUGAGCCUUGUUAUCCAAAACUGGCAUUACAUGAGGGGCUGUUGUUUUCAUCAAUGGAUGAUUGCAUUUCUGUGUUUUGUGGUCCUGACUGGGUAUUGACAUCUAGGUUUCGACAAUUAUAUGGAGGUUCAAUUUGCGAUUUUUCAAUCGGUGGCGAUAGACUCUUUGCACUUCACAGUGAAGAAAAUGUCUUUGAUAUAUGGGAGACUCCACCUCCACCAAUUUUAUGAUUCAGAUUACAAGGUGUGCUGGGUUUUUCAGUUAAUGUUUCUUACAUUCUGAUGUAAAUAGGUAUUUGAAAAGAUUUGCGUGUACAUAUUUUGCCUUUUAACUACUAUAUAAUUUAGAGCAAUGAAUCUGCUUGGGGUUUGCCCAUCUUCAUACAAAUGAGACUGAUUGCAUCAAACUAAUGUAAAGGGAAAUCUUGAAUUUAUAAGCAGAGAAUGCACAUGAUUUUUAAUUGGUAUUGCAGAAA
Molecule: unclassified non-coding RNA, 2240 nt
Filed under: Hevea brasiliensis (rubber tree)
Lineage: Eukaryota; Viridiplantae; Streptophyta; Magnoliopsida; Malpighiales; Euphorbiaceae
Source: RNAcentral